Molecule: ribosomal RNA, 487 nt
Filed under: Selenomonas sp. oral taxon 126
Lineage: Bacteria; Bacillati; Bacillota; Negativicutes; Selenomonadales; Selenomonadaceae
Description: bacterial SSU rRNA
Rfam family: Bacterial small subunit ribosomal RNA
Source: RNAcentral
GACGAACGCUGGCGGCGUGCUUAACACAUGCAAGUCGAACGGGAUAAUUUGAGAGCUUGCUCUUAGAGAAUCUAGUGGCAAACGGGUGAGUAACACGUAGACAACCUGCCGACAGGAUGGGGACAACGUUCCGAAAGGAAUGCUAAUACCGAAUGAAGUCGAGGGAGGGCAUCCUCUCUCGAUGAAAGAUGGCCUCUUUUUAUGCUAUCACCUGUCGAUGGGUCUGCGUCUGAUUAGCUGGUUGGUGAGGUAACGGCUCACCAAGGCGACGAUCAGUAGCCGGUCUGAGGGGAUGAACGGCCACAUUGGGACUGAGACACGGCCCAGACUCCUACGGGAGGCAGCAGUGGGGAAUCUUCCGCAAUGGGCGCAAGCCUGACGGAGCAACGCCGCGUGAGUGAAGAAGGUCUUCGGAUCGUAAAGCUCUGUUGAUGGGGACGAACGUGCGAAGGGUGAAUAAUCCUUGUAAUGCCGUACCAUCGAGGAG